AGUGAACGCUGGCGGUAGGCCUAACACAUGCAAGUCGAACGGCAGCACAGUAAGAGCUUGCUCUUACGGGUGGCGGGUGGCGGACGGGUGAGGAAUACAUCGGAAUCUACUUUUUCGUGGGGGAUAACGUAGGGAAACUUACGCUAAUACCGCAUACGACCUACGGGUGAAAGCAGGGGAUCUUCGGACCUUGCGCGAUUGAAUGAGCCGAUGUCGGAUUAGCUAGUUGGCGGGGUAAAGGCCCACCAAGGCGACGAUCCGUAGCUGGUCUGAGAGGAUGGUCAGCCACACUGGAACUGAGACACGGUCCAGACUCCUACGGGAGGCAGCAGUGGGGAAUAUUGGACAAUGGGCGCAAGCCUGAUCCAGCCAUACCGCGUGGGUGAAGAAGGCCUUCGGGUUGUAAAGCCCUUUUGUUGGGAAAGAAAAGCAGCAGGUUAAUACCCCGCUGUUCUGACGGUACCCAAAGAAUAAGCACCGGCUAACUUCGUG
RNAcentral lists this ribosomal RNA (492 nucleotides) under uncultured bacterium. RNAcentral describes it as "partial 16S ribosomal RNA". It matches the Rfam family "Bacterial small subunit ribosomal RNA", at positions 29 to 507 of the family's 1533-position model. The record is from RNAcentral.